RNAcentral lists this transfer RNA (77 nucleotides) under Dehalococcoidia bacterium. RNAcentral describes it as "tRNA-Arg". It matches the Rfam family "tRNA". Rfam says of the family: Transfer RNA (tRNA) molecules are approximately 80 nucleotides in length. Their secondary structure includes four short double-helical elements and three loops (D, anti-codon, and T loops). The record is from RNAcentral. Lineage: Bacteria; Bacillati; Chloroflexota; Dehalococcoidia.
GCCCCGGUAGCUCAGUAGGAUAGAGCAGCGGUUUCCUAAACCGCAGGUCACAGGUUCGAGUCCUGUCCGGGGCGCCA